RNAcentral lists this long non-coding RNA (216 nucleotides) under Gallus gallus (chicken). Lineage: Eukaryota; Metazoa; Chordata; Aves; Galliformes; Phasianidae. The record is from RNAcentral.
AUCUUGAGGACUCAGUAAAGGCAAACUGCUUUUGGUUUCUCACCAGUUGUUUCGUGAAUCACUUCUUGUGUUUGUUAUCUGAAAUCACAGGGCAGUGAGUGCUGGGGCAUAGGAGCAGCACAGCAGCUAGCCAGUCAUAUCUGUAGCGAAACUGGCUGCGCCGGCGCUGGGCUGAGCUGGGCUGGGCCGGGCAGGCCCCGCCGCUGCUCCUCCCUC